RNAcentral lists this ribosomal RNA (164 nucleotides) under Fothergilla latifolia. Its description in RNAcentral is "5.8S ribosomal RNA". It matches the Rfam family "5.8S ribosomal RNA". From Rfam's summary of the family: 5.8S ribosomal RNA (5.8S rRNA) is a component of the large subunit of the eukaryotic ribosome. It is transcribed by RNA polymerase I as part of the 45S precursor that also contains 18S and 28S rRNA. Lineage: Eukaryota; Viridiplantae; Streptophyta; Magnoliopsida; Saxifragales; Hamamelidaceae. The record is from RNAcentral.
UAAACGACUCUCGGCAACGGAUAUCUCGCGUCUCGCAUCGAUGAAGAACGUAGCGAAAUGCGAUACUUGGUGUGAAUUGCAGAAUCCCGUGAACCAUCGAGUCUUGAACGCAAGUUGCGCCCAAAGCCAUUAGGCCGAGGGCACGUCUGCCUGGGCGUCACGUA